GUAAUUCUGCUGUGGAGCGAUUUUGCGAUAUCCUUAUUAUCGAUUGGGAUGAAUUUUAUCGAAUGAAUUAUUUCUUCCGGACCGUUUAAAAACAUCUCCGGCAAUGUUAGGGCAGUCGAGCAUUGGGAGAUGUUUUUCUCUGAUAUGGUAAAUCGAAAUUUCGCCCGGACGGUGCUACCUUCGAGAACACGUCGAAUUGGAUGGGGUCAGACCUUUUUGAAAUUUAUUGCCUUAUACGUAGCGACUAAACCGCAAAUUUUCCGAAAUCAUAUGUAUGGUGGUGUUCCUAUUUCGACCGUGUGGACGUGGAAUUAAGAGCUUUUCACGAAUUUGCGUAGUAGCAGGCCAUAGGAAUUUACACAUCACUAGCAGCUAGAUAAGUACCGAUUAGAAGUUUUAUUUUUGGUGUUGUUUUUGCGGGAUCCUGACAUUAUUGUUUACGAAAGCAAUGAACCUCACUGAAUAGGUGUUUCCGAAUAGUUUUGUCUUCGCCUUUGUAUAAGCGUUUAGUUUGUAGUAUAAAUGAAGAAUAAAUCCGUUGAACAGGCGUAUUUUGGGGAAGCAACAUUCAACGUUUUUAUUCUUGUUCCUUUGUCGUAUUCCACCAUACUAUUUUCGCGUAUCUGUAUUGUUUAGUAGUUUCCUUUCAGGUUUAGGCUAGUCGGUGCACAAUAAACUACUUGGCGUCCUUGUUAUCAUUUUUUUGCACAUAUUUAUCCUUAUCUGUUGGAUUUAACCCACGGCCCUUACGAGCAAGCACAUUACUUGCCGUACACAAAAAAAGGACAGAAGUGUUAUUCCUAAUGUUUUAGAAGUAAAUGUCUCUGAUAGAUAUUUUUUUUUUAUUUUUAUUGAAUUUAAUGUAAUAACUUCUUUAAUCUAUUUGUAUAUUCUCUUUUUUCCCUUCUGUAAAUCUCGUCACUCACUUCUCCAUCUAUCAUUCUUUUGUGCAAUUCUCUUAGCUGACUGCUUUCAUUCUUAACUUCUCUUGUUACCCAACUUUUUUUUACUUUCUGUUUUACAUUUAUCCUAUUUUUAGGACAUGACACGUCAAGACACCAAGUCAAUUUCUUCAUAAAGGCCUCAAAUGCAUUAUUUGUAGUAAGUCCACUUACACACGUCCAAUCAAUAUCACUUAGUUGUGUCCUUAGUUCUUGUGAGUUCUCAUCUGUAAAUUUUCUACUUAAGUAGGUAGUUGUAGCCAGAGAAUCAUUCGCUAAAGAGUUGGUAAGAUUGCAUGAGAAAAUAUGGGCAAGAUGUUUGGCUAAUAAAGUAUCAUAUAAAAA
Long non-coding RNA from Leptinotarsa decemlineata (Colorado potato beetle), 1286 nucleotides. The record is from RefSeq and is a predicted model, not a curated record. NCBI's taxonomy places the organism in Eukaryota, Metazoa, Arthropoda, Insecta, Coleoptera, Chrysomelidae.